UGAAUGGGCUAGGGCAUACACCAAUGUACCAAACCCUAUCAAACUCCGAAUACCUUAUAUGUAAUCACAGCAGUCAGGCGGCGAGUGAUAAAAUCCGUCGUCAAGAGGGAAACAACCCAGACUACCAGCUAAGGUCCCUAAAUCUUACUUAAGUGGAAAACGAUGUGAAGUUACUUAAACAACCAGGAGGUUGGCUUAGAAGCAGCCAUCCUUUAAAGAAAGCGUAAUAGCUCACUGGUCUAGUGAUUUUGCGCGGAAAAUAUAACGGGGCUAAAGUAAGUACCGAAGCUGUAGACUUAGUUUACUAAGUGGUAGGAGAGCGUUCUAUUUGCGUCGAAGGUAUACCGGUAAGGAGUGCUGGAGCGAAUAGAAGUGAGCAUGCAGGCAUGAGUAGCGAUAAUUAAUGUGAGAAUCAUUAACGCCGUAAACCCAAGGUUUCCUACGCGAUGCUCGUCAUCGUAGGGUUAGUCGGGUCCUAAGUCGAGUCCGAAAGGGGUAGACGAUGGCAAAUUGGUUAAUAUUCCAAUACCAACAUUAGUGUGCGAUGGAAGGACGCUUAGGGCUAAGGGGGCUAGCGGAUGGAAGUGCUAGUCUAAGGUCGUAGGAGGUUAUACAGGCAAAUCCGUAUAACAAUACUCCGAGAACUGAAAGGCUUUUUGAAGUCUUCGGAUGGAUAGAAGAACCCCUGAUGCCAUCGAGCCAAGAAAAGUUUCUAAGUUUAGCUAAUGUUGCCCGUACCGUAAACCGACACAGGUGGGUGGGAUGAGUAUUCUAAGGCGCGUGGAAGAACUCUCUUUAAGGAACUCUGCAAAAUAGCACCGUAUCUUCGGUAUAAGGUGUGGUUCGCUUCGUAUUAGGAUUUACUCCGAAAGCGAAGAAACUUACAACAAAGAGUCCCUCCCGACUGUUUACCAAAAACACAGCACUCUGCUAACUCGUAAGAGGAUGUAUAGGGUGUGACGCCUGCCCGGUGCUCGAAGGUUAAUUGAUGGGGUUAGCAUUAGCGAAGCUCUUGAUCGAAGCCCGAGUAAACGGCGGCCGUAACUAUAACGGUCCUAAGGUAGCGAAAUUCCUUGUCGGUUAAAUACCGACCUGCAUGAAUGGCGUAACGAGAUGGGAGCUGUCUCAAAGAGGGAUCCAGUGAAAUUGUAGUGGAGGUGAAAAUUCCUCCUACCCGCGGCAAGACGGAAAGACCCCGUGGACCUUUACUACAGCUUGACACUGCUAUUUGGAUAAGAAUGUGCAGGAUAGGUGGGAGGCUUUGAGUAUAUGACGCCAGUUGUAUAUGAGCCAUUGUUGAGAUACCACUCUUUCUUAUUUGGGUAGCUAACCAGCUUGAGUUAUCCUCAAGUGGGACAAUGUCUGGUGGGUAGUUUGACUGGGGCGGUCGCCUCCCAAAUAAUAACGGAGGCUUACAAAGGUUGGCUCAGAACGGUUGGAAAUCGUUCGUAGAGUAUAAAGGUAUAAGCCAGCUUAACUGCAAGACAUACAAGUCAAGCAGAGACGAAAGUCGGUCUUAGUGAUCCGGUGGUUCUGUGUGGAAGGGCCAUCGCUCAAAGGAUAAAAGGUACCCCGGGGAUAACAGGCUGAUCUCCCCCAAGAGCUCACAUCGACGGGGAGGUUUGGCACCUCGAUGUCGGCUCAUCGCAUCCUGGGGCUGGAGCAGGUCCCAAGGGUAUGGCUGUUCGCCAUUUAAAGCGGUACGCGAGCUGGGUUCAGAACGUCGUGAGACAGUUCGGUCCCUAUCUGCCGUGGGCGUAAGAAGAUUGAAGAGAUUUGACCCUAGUACGAGAGGACCGGGUUGAACAAACCACUGGUGUAGCUGUUGUUCUGCCAAGAGCAUCGCAGCGUAGCUAAGUUUGGAAAGGAUAAACGCUGAAAGCAUCUAAGCGUGAAGCCAACUCUAAGAUGAAUCUUCUCUAAGCUCUCUAGAAGACUACUAGUUUGAUAGGCUGGGUGUGUAAUGGAUGAAAGUCCUUUAGCUGACCAGUACUAAUAGAGCGUUUGGCUUAUCUUUAAUAAAGCAU
RNAcentral lists this ribosomal RNA (2027 nucleotides) under Campylobacter coli. RNAcentral's name for it is "partial 23S ribosomal RNA". It matches the Rfam family "Bacterial large subunit ribosomal RNA", at positions 911 to 2925 of the family's 2925-position model. Lineage: Bacteria; Pseudomonadati; Campylobacterota; Epsilonproteobacteria; Campylobacterales; Campylobacteraceae. The record is from RNAcentral.